RNAcentral lists this ribosomal RNA (429 nucleotides) under Verrucomicrobiota bacterium. RNAcentral's name for it is "Verrucomicrobia bacterium partial 16S ribosomal RNA". It matches the Rfam family "Bacterial small subunit ribosomal RNA", at positions 355 to 776 of the family's 1533-position model. The record is from RNAcentral. Lineage: Bacteria; Pseudomonadati; Verrucomicrobiota.
UAGGGAAUCUUCCGCAAUGGACGAAAGUCUGACGGAGCAACGCCGCGUGAGUGAAGAAGGAUUUCGGUUCGUAAAACUCUGUUGUUAGGGAAGAAAAAAUGUAUAGUAACUAUAUACAAAAGAGACGGUACCUAACCAAAAAGCCACGGCUAACUACGUGCCAGCAGCCGCGGUAAUACGUAGGUGGCAAGCGUUGUCCGGAAUUAUUGGGCGUAAAGCGCGCGCAGGUGGUUUAGAAAGUCUGAUGUGAAAGCCCACGGCUCAACCGUGGAGGGUCAUUGGAAACUAAUAAACUUGAGUGCAGGAGAGAAAAGUGGAAUUCCUAGUGUAGCGGUGAAAUGCGUAGAGAUUAGGAGGAACACCGGUGGCGAAAGCGGCUUUUUGGCCUGCAACUGACACUGAGGCGCGAAAGCGUGGGGAGCGAACAGG